Molecule: ribosomal RNA, 481 nt
Filed under: uncultured bacterium
Lineage: Bacteria
Description: bacterial SSU rRNA
Rfam family: Bacterial small subunit ribosomal RNA
Source: RNAcentral
UUGAACGCUGGCGGCAUGCUUUACACAUGCAAGUCGAACGGUAACAGGUCUUCGGAUGCUGACGAGUGGCGAACGGGUGAGUAAUGCAUCGGAACGUGCCCAGUCGUGGGGGAUAACGCAGCGAAAGCUGUGCUAAUACCGCAUACGAUCUAUGGAUGAAAGCGGGGGACCUUAGGGCCUCGCGCGAUUGGAGCGGCCGAUAUCAGAUUAGGUAGUUGGUAGGGUAAAGGCCUACCAAGCCAACGAUCUGUAGCUGGUCUGAGAGGACGACCAGCCACACUGGAACUGAGACACGGGCCAGACUCCUACGGGAGGCAGCAGUGGGGAAUUUUGGACAAUGGGCGAAAGCCUGAUCCAGCCAUUCCGCGUGCAGGAUGAAGGCCCUCGGGUUGUAAACUGCUUUUGUACAGAACGAAAAGGUCUCUAUUAAUACUAGGGGCUCAUGACGGUACUGUAAGAAUAAGCACCGGCUAACUACGUG